Molecule: long non-coding RNA, 1262 nt
Filed under: Betta splendens (Siamese fighting fish)
Lineage: Eukaryota; Metazoa; Chordata; Actinopteri; Anabantiformes; Osphronemidae
Description: lncRNA (ENSBSLG00000019813.1)
Source: RNAcentral
GAGGCAGAGACCUGUGGGAAUGUGUGUGUGUGUGUGUGUGUGUGUGUGUGUGUGUGUGUGUGUGUGUGUGUGUGUGUGUGUGUGACUGAAGAAUAUGCCACUGGCCUUGAGCCCACUUCAAGGAGCAUUAAGGGACCUGGAGGGGCCCCUGACCCCACUGUGAAAUAAAAGACCUUUCAACAUGUUCCUACUACUCACUCCUUAUAUUUUGAAAUGAUUCAAUAAUUAUUUUCUUACAUUGUGUAAUUGUAUGAGUUACCAAAAAGUAAAGCAUCCAAAAUAUAUACAAUAAUAAUACAAUAUUUGAAUUACAGUUGCAAAAUAAUGGUUAAUUAUUAUGUAUUGAUUAAUGUUUAAAUGUCUUAAUGUAGUACACCUUUUGACUUACACAUAUGUAUUCAGACUAUAACUUCAUAAGAGAAGAUGUAAAUCAACAAAGAAAUAAGUAAAUACUGUACAUUUAGUUGUUUGUUAAAUGUCCGUAAGUGCCACAAGAUGGCGCUAUAGUUGCGGGAGUGACUUUGAGCUGACGCACCGCAAUCUGCGAGAGAAACGAGACGAAACUAUCAGCUGGUGGGACGUGAACAGAGGCGAGUGAGGUUCUCUGAGGUGAAUGUGUUUAUUGGAACCCUGAUUUACAGCUUCCUGUGUAGAAGAACAUUUUCAUUUGUGUGUGUGCGCGUGCGCUUACAGUGCUACGUCGACACAGAAAAAGGUCGGGUGAAAUGUUAAUGAUGUACAUGUUUUGUUUAUGGUGAGUGGCUGAUCUUUGCAGCUCGGUGCCGGGGCGAGUUUUAAACAUUUCAAUCGAGUUUGUGUCAAAGCGCUGCUCCCCUUUCAGGAGUCAACACCCCGAUGACAUCUCAUUUAUUUGGCUGGUUUGUUUUGAUGACUCACCUCUACAAGCCAGGUUCUUUAGGAAGGCACAAAGCCUCCUACGGCGAUCCAAAUCGGCACCGCAGGAGUGCAGAACUACAUCCAACUUGGCGGCUCCCAGCCGGAUGCACAUUUUCCAUUCAACUAAUCUGCUGUCAUGUCACUUGUUUGAUCACGGUGAGGAGUGUGACAGCGACUGGAUGCGAGCGUUGAGUCAUUUUGUUGGAAGCGAAGGCAGCCGGCAUCAUCGCUGAGUCAGUACCGGGAGCGCCGCUAGCCGGCUGGGGAGGAUAUUUCCAGCCCCUGGAAGGACGGGGGGCCCGGUUUCUAGACGAAUCAAACACGUGGAGCAGAACCAGGCAAAUAAAACCACAGAACAUCUGGCA